UCGACUACAUGAAGCUGGAAUCGCUAGUAAUCGCGAAUCAGAAUGUCGCGGUGAAUACGUUCCCGGGCCUUGUACACACCGCCCGUCACACCAUGGGAGUCGGUAACACCCGAAGUCGGUGGUCUAACCGCAAGGAGGACGCCGCCGAAGGUGGGAUUGAUGACUGGGGUGAAGUCGUAACAAGGUAAC
Molecule: ribosomal RNA, 189 nt
Filed under: uncultured bacterium
Lineage: Bacteria
Description: partial 16S ribosomal RNA
Rfam family: Bacterial small subunit ribosomal RNA
Source: RNAcentral